Molecule: long non-coding RNA, 31390 nt
Filed under: Capsicum annuum
Lineage: Eukaryota; Viridiplantae; Streptophyta; Magnoliopsida; Solanales; Solanaceae
Description: long non-coding RNA (CANN_LNC000018)
Source: RNAcentral
GGCUUGCCGCGAGAUUUCAUGGGCCUGGAUGGGCUUAUUCACAACAUGAUCUGGAAAAAGUUCUGGAAUUUUGGGCUGCUCGAAAGAAGAUGGACACCCGAAAAAAGCCCGACGACGAAAAAAGCAUCCAGUUCCAACAUAAUUAGGCCCACUAAGCCCAUCCAUGCCCAUUGCAUUAGUAUGAAACAAGCCUUUCAUUUCACUAGCAUAAAUAUCUGCCUCAUUGAGCUCAUGAAAACAUUGAGGAAAUUGAACGAAGGCUAAUUUGGGCCACAAUGUUUGGUCCAAGAAGUAACACAAAGCCCGUUGAGGUGUCGAUGGAUCAUUGGAGUACAUGUCACAAUCCAAUGUCAAUAUUAUUGGUGCAUUUGUCAUAAUUCCCGAUACUCGAAGCUAUCACAAGAAGAAAUUAAUCGUAUUCAGUACAAUAACAAUAACAUAUUCAGUGUAAGUGGGGUCUGAGGAGGUUAUUUCCGAUAUACACUCUGCUCGAUCAAGACAAAAACAGUGUAGAAAAAAGACGUAAUGGAAGUAUUGAUAUUUUCACUUACCAAAGCAUUGAGGGCACCUGCUUUAAAAUGAUGAGGGGAACUUUUGUUUUUUUCUCUUGAAAGAUAUAUAAGAUUUGGCAUCCCAUGACCUGUUAUGUCUUUGUCUUUCCCACUUUCUAACAAAACCUACAUCAAGCAAUUUGUUAAGAGGAAAAGUCAUAUAGAUGCUAUUGCCAAAUUAAUCACCAAAUAUUAGGUUUCAAAUGAGAGGUUUACAAUUAAAGGCAAACUACUGAAUUUAUAUAAUCCUACAUAUUUGUGAUACAUAUGAUACCCCAGUCAAAUCACAUAUUGGAAAGUACAGAAAAAAUAUUGGAUGUAUAAAGAAAUAAGCCUAAGACUUCAUUGACGCGUUUUAACGCCAUGUAGGAUUAGGUUUAAAACGACAAUAUCACAAGUGAAUUGAACUGUUACCAUUAUAUGUUUUAAGAAAGAAUUUUUGAAACAAAUGAUAAGUUGCUAUGACAAAUUAACCUGAACAAUAGAAGGGUGAUUAUGACGAGUAAAUCCAGCAAUCGAAAAUUUUGUAAAAUCUUGAAGCUCUUCAUCGUUGUUAAUAUAAUCUUCAUCAACUUUUCCCCUCUCUAUCACAUUUUCUAUCCUUGUCUUCAUGCUUUCGUACAUCAGCUGCACAUAUAAUAUAAUAAUAAAAUAGGGUUCGAAUCUUGUUGGAGAAUAAGUACGAUACUAUUACUUAAUCUUCCAUAUGGUGUGGGGUGGGAAUUAAAUAUGCUCAAAUUAAAAUUAUGUAUGAUAUUACUACAUUAGCAAGAAAAAAAAAACACUUAUUUAAUCUCCUUUUUUUCAAAAAAUUAUAUCACGCGAAUAUGAGGGAAAAGAUUAAUUUCAUAUUUUUAUUAAUAUAAAUUUGUUGAAGAUCCUUUAACAAAAUAGUAAAAAGGGUUCAACCGUAGUAGAUGUAAUAUCGCGAAUACAUGUGCAUGUCUUUGAGAUACAUGCAUCUACUACGAUUGAACCAUGUUUCCAAAUAUCUUAACCAUCGAAUAUCUUAAUCAUGUAUCCGACUUUUUUCUUUUAAUAGUAUCGUAUGUAAUACUAAAAACUAGUAGUUGAAGGAGCAAUUGGACUAUAAAGCCUCUGUCCCAACAAUUAUUGAUAUAGACAAUGAAUAAACUAAAAUAUAUCCUAAAUAAACGUAGUUAGAUCUGGUACGUUAUAACAUAAUAAUUGAUACCAUCUAUUCCCAAUCUCUGCAGAUACAUUAAAUUUAAAUGUAUAUGGCACAUUAAUGUAUUUUUAAAGGAUCUAAAAUAUGUUGGGUAAUAUUUUUAAAGAGUGAAUAACAUAAUUAUGAUUUUGUAAUAUCAAAAAUCAACUACAUAAUCAGUUAAGCUACAUUGAUAAUUUAAUUUUGUUAUAGCAAUAGAUUGUUUGCUUUAUCUCUCAAGUCCAAUAUUUACUAAAUUCCAGUGAAUUGAACUUAAACACUUCAUAUAACAUUAUCUCAUUAGAAUUGAUAACAUAAGGCUUAGCCUCCCUUUGCUUGUAGUUAUUCUCGUUGAGGAUUUUUAUUUUAUUAUUAAUAAACUCUAUAGACAACAGAUUGAAACAACUGAAAAUAAAACUUAAAAAGUUGAAAAAUAAAAUAAAAUACUUACAUACCUUAAUUUUCUGUGUCUCAGAAUUUUCUGUGUAACUCGAACUGAAAUAUGCAUCAGGACACCUUUCAAUUAUAUUAUUUUCCCUAAAAAAUGGCAACCAAUACACAGCAAAUUUUGCAGCUUCCAUAAAAGCAAACAACGUAAGCUCUGAUCCUCCAUCAUCCGAUAAAUAAACUGAAAGUUUUUCGAUAGGAUAAUAAUCAUAUGCCAUAACUGAUAACGCUGUGUUAACAACGUUUAAUGGAGGUUCCUUACAAGGAUCCGCUGUGCAAAUAAAUAUAUCGAGUGCUGGUAAAUUAUUGUUACUAUACUUUUUUAUUUUUUGGGGACAUUGUUUACGCGUGAUAGGACGCAUACGAAACGAUUGAGUAGUUGACCACAUGAAAGCUAAAAUUAAAUCGGAAAGUAUAAUAGAAACAUAUAUGAAGAAAGUGAUAAAGGAAUAAUUAGUGGAGGAAUAUAGAAGUUUUUGUAUGUGGUAGUAGAAAAGAGCAAGGAUGGCAAAAAGGUAAAUAAGUGCAAAUGCACGGUUGAGGAUGAGCUGUAGUGGUUUCACUACGACGGAGUGAAGCGUAGCUCCGCCGUGAACGGUGGUUUCGGUGGCAGCUGUGGUGGCUGUGGUUUCCAUUUCUGUGUGAUAUAUGAAGUGUAUUAUAUUGUGGUGAGAAGCAUUGCUAUUUAUAGCAAAGAUUCCAAGUUAGUUGAGAAAAUUGAAGGAAAGGUGUUUUUAAGUCUUGAAUGAAGGAUUGGUGACAUUGACCAAUAGAUAGAGUCAAACAUCAUUAGGAAACUUGAUUAAAUUAAUUGUGGACUUGAUUAAUAUUUUUAAAACUUUCUAAUCUUUUCAAAAAUACAAAUCAACCCAACCCACACCCCUCUUCAAUCCUAAUCAACCACUCUCUCUCUCCAACUUCUCCCAACCAACAGUUCUGCAAAAUUUCUCCCUUCAACCUCCGGCGACAAAUAGUCGGCGAGUUCCUUUUCGACUUUCAACCGUCAAUCGACGUGAAUACUUCUCCUGCGACAACAACUUCGAGUUCUUCGUCCUCCCAUUUCCUUUUUCACAGGUAAAAAAUUAUGAAGAAACAGAGGAACUUGAGCCAACUACUCUUCUGGUAUUGAAAUGUGGACUGAAUAAAACCCUAAUUUCUGGCAUUUCUGCAUUUCUUCUUCUCGUUGUCGUACUGUUGAUUCGAAUUUGUUGGUGAUUUUUGGUCACAGUUAAUGUUCUUAGUGUGUAUGUGUGUGUGAUAUGUUGGUGUUGCUGGGAUAAUUUGUUGUUUGUCUUGGUAGAAAUGUUAUUGCAACAGUUAAAACAUCUGAUGUAAUAGAUGAAACAUAUGAUGCAAUAGAUGAAAAUCUGAUGCAACAGAUUAAAAAUCUGAUGGCAACUAUGAAAAUCUAAUGCAACAGGUGAACAAUCUAACAGAUCAUUCAUCUGUUGCGACAGACGACUCUUCUAUUUGGAAGAAAUCUAAACAAUAUUGAUCCAACAGAUAACUGAUUAGUGAUCUGUUUUUAUUUUUUCCAAUGGUUUACUCUUCAUUUUAAAAUCUGAUGCAACUAUGAAAAUCUGAUGCAACAGGUGAACAAUCUAAUAGAUCAUUCAUCUGUUGCGACAGGCGACCCUUCUGUUUGAAAGAAAUAUAAACAAUAUUGAUCCAACAGAUAACUGAUUAGUGAUCUAUUUUUAUUCUUUCCAAUGGUUUGCUCUUCAUUUUACAACAGAUUAGGACUGUUUUUAUUUUUUCCAACGAUUUACUCAUACAGGUCGGUUAUCUGUUGCAACAGAUUAGUGAUCCGUUUUUAUUCUUUCCAACGGUUUACUUAUCCGUUGCAAUAGGUCGGUUAUAUGUUGCAACAGAUAAAAUACCUGGUGCAACAGAUUAGUGAUCUAUUUUUAUUAUUUUCACAGGUCAGUUAUGUGUUGCAUCAGAUAAAAUACCAGGUGCAACAGAUAGUGUUGUUUUUAUGGUUCCCACGUAUUACUCAUCCGUUGCAACAGGUCGGUUAUAUGUUGCAACAUAUAAUAUACCUGGUACAACAGAUUAGUUGUCUGUUGGAACUGUUAUAUUACUGUUAUGCAUUAAUCAAUUAUAAUCUACGUUAUGUUCCUGUAAAUUUAAGAUAACAUGGCUCCCAAAAUAAAAGAAAUCGAAUCAAGUCCAAGUAAAGGAACAAGUGCAGCAGCUCAGCUACAACCACUACUCUAGGAGCUUACUUUACAAGCGUUAUUUCAAUCAGGAGAAGAAGAUAAUGAACACGGGGAGAAGAAAUCUUUCAAAAGAGAUGAUCCAAAUGCUAAUAGCCCUUCCGUCGAAGAGGUGGUCAAAACCUUCAGGAUUGAUUGUUACCCUGUGAGAAUACAGUGCGAUGGUGACACAGAUUUAACGGGUGAUCUCGGGGUUAAGUCAGUCAUGGGAAAAUAUUUCGACGCCUUCAGAAAAAUACUUCGAAAACAAAAAUUGGAUUCUUAUUUCAGGGAAAGCUGCUUUGGAAAAUUUCUUGAUUUGUCAGAGGACAACAAUGCUCGUUUUCAGAUAAAAAUGGUAUGUCAUCUUCUCAAGCGCAGGUUUAUGUAUGAAAACAAAGAUAAGAUAGAUGAGGUGUGGAUAAAUUACUGUGGCAUGCCUGUUUAUUUUGGUUGGGAGGAGUUUGCCAUAGUUACCGGACUAAAAUGUUAUGCUCCUUCUCCUUCUCAAGUUAUACCUACUCUGACCCAAAAAAAAGCACCCCGCACACCCAAAAAAGGAAAAGGCAAGUCGAGUGAUCGUGAUGACCUGGUGUUUAUUGUUGGUCCAAGCUUCAAAAAUAAAAAUCUGAUUGAAGCGUUGAAAGGUAAAGGACUUUCAAAGAAGCACAAACAAUCAUUGUGCUUGGUUUGGUUUGUACAUAAUGUUCUUUGAGCGAGAGACGUUAACAAAAACAUAGCCNNNNNNNNNNNNNNNNNNNNNNNNNNNNNNNNNNNNNNNNNNNNNNNNNNNNNNNNNNNNNNNNNNNNNNNNNNNNNNNNNNNNNNNNNNNNNNNNNNNNNNNNNNNNNNNNNNNNNNNNNNNNNNNNNNNNNNNNNNNNNNNNNNNNNNNNNNNNNNNNNNNNNNNNNNNNNNNNNNNNNAUUUUUUAUUCAAUAAUGCUUUUGAUGUAUUGGCGUUAUGUUAUAGGCUUGGGCAUUUGAAGCCAUUCCUUAUUUGAGACAAUAAGUGAACUACCAGGAAGAAGUUUCUUGUCUAAGAAUUCUGAGAUGGUUGUCGGCCAAACCUGAUAAAAAUGCAAAAUUUCUUGAUAUUUUCAAUUCCCCCAAGGAAGCAGUAAGUCCAAUUCUAAUCAAGUUUUUGUUUUAAUUAAUGAUUAAAUGAUUUCAUCAUCAUUCUUAAUAUAUGUACCGAUUUAUUUUAGAUUGUCCAUCUGUGGCUUGUUCCGACCAACCGAGAGUUGAAGAUGCCAUUUUUUCUUACUUUACNNNNNNNNNNNNNNNNNNNNNNNNNNNNNNNNNNNNNNNNNNNNNNNNNNNNNNNNNNNNNNNNNNNNNNNNNNNNNNNNNNNNNNNNNNNNNNNNNNNNNNNNNNNNNNNNNNNNNNNNNNNNNNNNNNNNNNNNNNNNNNNNNNNNNNNNNNNNNNNNNNNNNNNNNNNNNNNNNNNNNNNNNNNNNNNNNNNNNNNNNNNNNNNNNNNNNNNNNNNNNNNNNNNNNNNNNNNNNNNNNNNNNNNNNNNNNNNNNNNNNNNNNNNNNNNNNNNNNNNNNNNNNNNNNNNNNNNNNNNNNNNNNNNNNNNNNNNNNNNNNNNNNNNNNNNNNNNNNNNNNNNNNNNNNNNNNNNNUCAUAUCCAGACACUCCACUAGAGAUCAAGGCGACUAACAGAAGAAGGAAAGAAACUUCCCAAAGGCAUCAUCAAUCAUAUAAAAAAAAGAUUGCAAUGCCUCUGUCUUUGUCUUGCACCGAUGUUCAGUGUGCAAGGGCCACAGAAGAGCAGCAUGAGCUGAAGAAGGUGAAUGUACAUCAUCUGUUUCAAAAAACAAACAAGCACAUAUCUGUUUCAACAGAUGAUACAUCUGUUAAAAAUUAUCAAACAGAUGUAUACAUCUGUUGCAACUAUUGUCUAACCCGUUGCAUCAGAUUCGUUAUUUGUUUCAAUAGAUGAGUCUUAUGUUGCAAUAGAUGGAUCAUCUGUUCGAAAUUAUCGUACUGCUCUGAUUUACCUGUUCGAAUUUAUCCCAACAGAUAAUCCAUCUGAUGCAACAUAAGAAUCAUCUGUUGCAACAGAUAGAUAAUCUGUUGUAUAUCUCUACAAUUCUGGCUUUCUCGGUGGAUGUCAUAGCUACUGCCGAAGAGCAUAAUAUGAGAGUUGAUAAUCCAUCAACUACUUCCAAAGAUGAAAAAAAAGUGAAGCCUAUCAGUUUGGGAGAACGGAAGAAUUACCCAUUUGAAGGGUUCAACAUCUCGAACGAGGCUCCAAAAAAAUUAAUACAGUUGAUCAAGGACUAUUCAGAAUGAAUUUUCGAUGGGCUGUUAAAGCACCAUGCCGGUAGGUACAUAAAUCAAUUUUAUAGAUAUUGGUUUACACAAUUCUUGUUGUAAGAACCUGACAUUAACACAUAUAAAUCAUCAUGUAGAAAACAAAAUGACAAGCACUACAAAAUGAACGAAUCGAGUCUUGAUUUUGAUAUGUUCGACUUUGUUGUUGCACAUCUCAGAAUGAAGAAUUAGUUCUAUUUGAUGUCACAGCCCCAAACUUGCUGGAAUGAUAAGGUUUAAAGGCCAUACAUAUUACUAUUAAUUAAUACUUUAUUUAAUUGCAUCUGCGUAUUAAUUUCUUUGUCACGUAAUCCAAAAUAUUUGAUAAUAUGUGCAGCACAUUGAUGUUAUUUUUUACUACCUUCGAAAGAAGGCCAAGUUGCAAAUACAAGAACAAUACAAAUACACAACAGACAAUUAUUUGUACAAAUUUUACAUCAAUAAUGCCUACGAUAGGUAUUGUCAACAGCAGCCGAAAGUUUCCCAAAAUGAGGAAUGCUUAAUCAACAUCAUCAAAGGUUUUAGCAUUCCGGCGAGCUUACCUUGGCAUUUGCUCGACGAAGUGUACAUCCCAAUCAAUUGUGGUGAUGAAUUCCAUUGGGUGUUGGCUGUCGUCAUUCUAAAAGAGAGGCGCAUCCGAGUUUAUGACUCGAUGUCGCGAAGGAGAUGUUUUGGGCCGUCGUCUGAGAUACAAAAGCUGGCCAAAAUAUUGCCUACUUACCUUGAUAUGAGUGGCUUUUUGGAUCAAAAGGUUCGUACUGAUUGGUCGACGAUUGAAGCAUACUAGGAUAAAAUGGCUAAUCCAUUUGAUGUUCAAUAUGUUGACGGAAUUGCUCAACAAACCAUUGGUAGCUUGUAAGUUUAAGUGUCAUGAUUUAGUUUCAUUUCACAAAUUUCACAACGCUUGCCUGAACUGCAAAACAUGGAUUAUCUAUUUUUUUAUAACCCAGGGAUUGCGGUCCUUUUGUUGCCGCCUAUGCCGAGUAUUUGAGCGAUGGAUUACAAGUACCAAAUGAUGGACUUGAUGCCGGAUUACUCCACAAAAGAUAUGCUGCUCUUUUAUGAAAAUAUGAAAAAUCUAAAGCUCAGAAGCCAUACGCAAUCGACGUUAAAGAUCCACGAUAACCAAAGACGAAUUCCGUAGCACUGGAUGAAGAACAACUUUUCCAUAUUUUAUAGCUUGAGUCCGUCAAUGUGAUAACCUAUCCUCCUUGGUUUAACUUGUUGAUUUAUUUGUAGAGUAGAUCGUUUGUACUCAUAAUAAUUUUUUUUACAUUUCAUUUAUUUGUUGAGUUAUUUUAUUUCAUGUAAUUUUCGAAGGCUUCGAUUCAUUUUAUUUUGUCUAUGAAUAUAAUUAUUUUUAAGUUUUGAACAUGUUUAUUUAAAUGAAGUACUAGAUUCAAAUAUCGCAACAGAUAAUACAUCUGCUGCAACAGAUGACAUAUCUUAUCAGACAGAUUUAGACAUAUGUUGCAACAUGAGAUGCAACACGUAGGUCAUCUGCUGGAAAUUAUAUAAUAGGUCUUCCUUCUUUUUUAAUUUGCUCAAACAGAUUAUCGAUCAGUUACAACAGAUAAGUUAUAUGUUGCAACAGAUCGUAAAUCUGUUGCGACAGAUAGACGGAGAACAUCUGCAUAACGCAACAGAUGACCAACUUAUUCCAAUAGAUAAUCAAUCUGUCACAACAGGUACUAUAUUUGUUAAGACAGAUAUAAAAUCUAUUGCAUUAUAAAAAUUCAACUUUGCCAGACAUAAAAAUUAUUGCCCCUAUAUGUAUAGUGAAUUGGCUUGAAAUGAAAAUUUGUUAUCAUAUUUGUCUCUGUCUUUUUACAUGUUCUUUUUUAUACACGGGCUCCAACCAUUUAGUUAGUACCCCAUAUGCCCAAACCCAUUGCAUUUUUCCCACAUCGGUGUCGCACACACCGGUCAUUUAUGUGUCGGUCAGCAAACACUCCAUGUAUGCAAGCGAGUAUGGUCUGCACGCUGCACCGGUUGUAUUUUUUGGGUGCUGAAUGUUCUUAUUUCGACCUUCAAAAACCCAUGAUUCCUUCACUAAGACUUCAGCUGACAAAUGAUCCAUCACCUUACUCUAUGUCAACAACUUGGGCAACAACUUCAAGAGUGGCUGCAUGUGGGUUAAAAACGUCUUCUCGCUGAACAUAGGUAAGUUGCAGUCAUAAACCUUAAUCUUUCCAUCGUAUAGUAGUAUCUCAAUAGUGAGAAAAUGGGUGACAUCCACGUUCAUGACUACAAGGAUUUUCUUUUCCUUGGUCCAGCUCUUGUCGUGUGAUAUGGCCUCUUCCCUCUAACAUAUUUAAUCGCGUCUUCAUCCCAUUGGAAUGUAGAAACUAACUGAUAAAAUCCUAGGCCACCGGAAUCAGCUAGAAUACGAAGAUCAGCGUACCUAUCUUUGAAAUUAUUGUAGAAGUUGAGGUCCAUUAUCCUAUCCAGCAGCAUCAUAAGCAUCUAGGUACGCUAAUUGUCUGCCCCUCAUGAGGCAGAGAAUUUCAUCAACAUACUGUGGUACAAGAAGAUAAUUUUUAAAUACGUUAGUAAUUGUAAAAAAUAAAAACACAGUGGAAAGAAUCCAAUGUAGAGGGUUCUCUGAAUCAGUUCACAGAUUACCCAGCCAACGCAACUUCUGCAAUAAAUGUGUAUUAUGCUGCAACAGAAUACCAAGCUGUUGCAACAGAUUACACAUCUGCUGCGUAGAUUCUUCUUCAUGGAGUAGAUUGGAAGGGUAGGUUAACAAAAGUAAACUUACCUUGUUCUCGUACCACACGCACGUAUUUGGCUUAUUCGAGAAGUCUUUGGCGGCAAAUGAAUGCAUGGUGUAUUAUUUUUGAACCUUUAUCUUGAUGAAUUCUUCCAGUUCCUUUUUCUUCUCCUUGCCAAGCACCGCAAAUAUGUCCACCUUCUUUGGAGGCCCCUGAACUUCAACAACUAUUGGAGCGGGGGGAGUUACAUAUUUUGUUGAUUUCAGAACAGAGAAAAUUUGUCUAAUUUUUAUUCUCUUCCUCCUAACCUCCACUGUAGAAGUGAAUGGCUCCCUCACCUCAUUGGAUGGUAUGACACCCCUCCUGGAUUUCAACUUUUUGAUAGCUUCAGCAAUAGUCUCUAGCUUGUCGAGUAGUUUAUCAUCUCUUUCCUUGCACACUUUGCAUUUGCAAUGAGAACAUGAGGGUGAGUAUGGGUGAGAGAGACCACUAGAAGGGUGGGAGAGACCGGUGUAAGGGUGAGAGGGAGGACUGUACAUGGCGUGUUUUUAAACAGAUUUAUUUUUUGCGGAGCACCAACAUGCUCAUAAUCACGAUUUGAAGCAGAAGCAGAAGUAGGAUGGCUGCCACCAUCACAAAUAACUCCACCAGCAACACCCCCAGAAGAAGCACCCGGAUCUAUUGCAGUUUGAGUUAGGUCGUGAAGAGCUUCAAAAUUAGACUGGCCUUGCCUAACUGCUCUUCUUAUGGAUGUUGCUCCAUCCAAUUCUUUUUUUAUUAACUCCACCGUUGGGUCUUCUUUUGUAUCAACAAUACCCAGAGUAAGAAAAGAAGCCAUCCCCAACUCAUCAAUGGUAGGCACGAUCCAAGGAUGCACAACCUAUAAAAAAUGAUAGGAGGAAUUUAAAUCAUAUAAUAAUAUUUUGCAGUCAGUUGGGUUACAUGGGGCUUGGAUUAUGUUAACAGAGCCAACUUAUGCAAUAGACGAUCUAGAUAUUGCAACAGCUGAUCUGUAUAUUAAAACAGAUUGAUAAUAUAUUGCAUCAGAAUACCCAUCUGUUGCAUAAUUUACAGUUAAUGGGUAAUCUGUUUAGUAAGGUUUAGAGAAUAGAGCAACAUAUGGUUAAUCUAUUGCGAAAUAUGGAUGGUCUGUUGCAAUAGAUUACCCAUUGCACCAGUUACAGUUGACGGGUAAUCUCUUGUAACAGAUGGAACAUCUGUUUCAAUAUCUUUCUUUGAGGCAAAUUAUUUUAGUUAAAAGAAGACGUACUGCAUCAUCCGGAGGGUUAAAGAGAUAAGCCUCGUUAAUAUUUUUUUUGUUGCUCUCUACUGCAGCCAACCACCUAAGGAUCCUUGGAUGAGAAACCUUAUCCGGAUAAUUUGUGAAAUGCUUUCGGAGGGAAGGAAUGGCUUCAUAUGCCUAAGCCUAAAAAUUGUAAACAGGAAGCAAGCAAAAAAAAGUCACAAGUAUAUUCAAUAUAAAUUAAUGAAUGAGUAAAAAUAGUGAUCAAUUUUACCAUGAAAGCCCAAGGAAAGCCGUAUAAUAUGGUCUUCUUUGGCUUUAGAUCUUUCAGUAAAUAUUUGACAGUCAAGUAGUAGCUAUCGUAGCCCCAGGAAUAAUCGUUGAAUCUCCCAAAAUCAUCAUCAAGUGCAAACAAAUCACGUUCUAUGACUUUCUUGACGUCUCUUGCCAAUAAAAUGGAAUGGACUAACCAAAGUAUGCACAAUUUCUCCCUGUAGUGCUUUGGUAUGUCUUUAUUCUUAAGAUCCGCUAUCAAAUUCUUCACUUUAUAGCUAGGUCCAAUAAUGCCCAACAACCCAUCUUUUUUUACCUUGCGUUUGUUGGACCCUUUAUGGGGUGUUUUCUUGAUGGCAGGUUCUUCUGGAUGAUCGCAUCUCAAGACCGUCACAAUGGCAAACUCUUUCAAUCCAAAACAAACCGGCAUACCACAGUAGUUAAUCCAGACUUCAUCCAUCUUAUUUUCGCCCUCCUUCGGACCUCCAUUAUCCCCCGCAUAUAUGAUCCUGCGCUUCAGAAGGCCAUAUACCAUGAUUAUUGGGAAAUGGAGAGGGCGGGGCCCAGACAGCUCAAGAAAGUGUGCAAAGCAGCUCUUCUUAAAAAGUCCAUCUAUGUUUUCCUUCUUCAUAAUACUCCUAAGUUCGUCAAAAGGUUUCCCCAACUGACAUUUAAGUACAAGAUCACCAAAUACUAAAUUAGGGUUAUUCGAUAUUAUUUCACGCCCCGUUGGUGAGGAGGAGUUAUCACUUUCCUCGGCUUCAUUUUUCCCUGACUGAGAUUGUUCUGGAAGUUUCUCCGAAUCUAUCUGUACUCUAGCCUUUUUUGUUUGGUGAUCGAAAGUUAAUCCACUUUCUAUUUCUUUUCUUUUGGGAGACAUCUUUUAACUACCAACAAAAGAAAAACAAAAAAUACAUUGCAUUUGAUGUCUGCAUAAUUUUUUUAAAAAAGGUGAGACAAAUUUUAAUAAAUUAUUCUUACCACAUAACCAAAAAAAAUACUCCAACGGACAACCCAUCAGUUAGAACACAUGGGGAAACCGAAUCUGUUUGUAGACCUAUUUAAUAUCUCCCCACAGAUAUUCCACCUAUUGCAACAGGUGGAGAAAUUUUAAUAAAUUAUUCUCUGCCACAUUACAAGAAAAUACUCCAAAGGAUAACCCAUCAGUUGGAACAGAUGGGGAAUCUGAUUGAAGACCUAUUUAAUAUCUCCCAAUAGAUCUUCCACCCGUUGCAACAGAUGGACCACCACCACCACAACCAAUGCCACUACCAAUGCCACCAAGACCACCACUAAUUCCACCAAUACCAAUACCAAGACCACCGACACCCGCUAAAAAACAAAAAUACCAACACCACCAAUAACACCACAAACACCAUCCAACAAUACCACGACAGUCAACAAAACAUUGAGAGAAAAACUAGGAUUUUCUCGAGUGCUUCCUACUUUUUUAACAUCAAAACUCAAAAUUUUUAACCCAUUCUUGAAGAUAAUACAACUAAAGGUCUUUUUUUAUCAUUAACUAAAAAACCCUAUUUUCUAGAAUAAAGAACAAAUGUAGAACUCUUCUCGAACUCUGUUACAUGCGAAGAUAGAGAAAACAACAGAUACAAUCGGGAAUGAAGUAAAAAAAACUAUAUGUAGUCGUAAAUGGGAAGAAAAUCGACCUGUAGUAAAGGGUUGAGCAAUAUGUUGAGUAGUUGUUGUUUGUAUUAUUUGUAUUAUUGAGAGGGAGAGGACACCCCAAGAGAGACAGAGAAGAGCGAGAACUUAAGAUUUGAAAUGAAAAGUUUUUUGCGCAAAUGGAUGAUUUGUAUGGGUUGAUUUGUAAUUUUGGAAAAGAAUGACAAGUUUUGAAAUUGCUAAUUUGGUCCGAAUUGAUCUUAAUUAAGUUUAAAAUUUUUAAAAGAUAUAGUUUUUAAAACAUUGAGUUGAUGAGAACUCAUUUCUACUCAGAGUGAUUGAUCAACGACUCGGGUCGAGAUGAAUGCAAUACCAGCGCCAUGUAAUUGUAAAGACUCGAUUGGAUUUAUAGUUGACCCUGCGAGCUCAUCAUUUAUCCCUAGUUCCACCUAAAUCAACUUAGGUACUAUCACUAUCCUAACAUUGAGUUGAUGAGAACUUAUUUCAACUCAGAGUGAUCGAUUGACGACUCAGUUAGGGAUGAAUGCAGUACCAACGCCAUGCAAUUACAAAGACUCAAUUGGAUUUGUAGUUGACCCUGCGAGCUCACUCAUUCAUCCCUAGUUCUACCUAAAUCAAAUUAGGUACUAUCACUAUCCUAACAUUGAGUUGAUGAGAACUCAUUUCAACUUAGAGUGAUUGAUCUACGACUCGGGUCGGGAUGAAUGUAAUACUAAUGUCAUGCAAUUGCAAAGACUCGAUUGGAUUUGUAGUUGACCCUACGAGCUCACUCGUUCAUCCCUAGUUCCACAUAAAUCAACUUAGGUACUAUCACUAUCCUAACAUUGAGUUGAUGAGAACUGAUUUCUACUCAGAGUGAUCGAUCGAUGACUUGGGUCGGGAUGAACGCAAUACCAACACCAUGCAAUUGUAAAGACUCGAUUGGAUUUGUAGUUAACCCUGAGAGCUCACUCAUUCAUCCCUAGUUCCACCUAAAUCAACUUAGGUACUAUCACUAUCCUAACAUUGAGUUGAUGAGAACUGAUUUCUACUCAGAGUGAUCGAUCGACGACUUGGGUCGGUAUAAACGCAAUACCAACGCCAUGCAAUUGCAAAGACUUGAUUGGAUUUGUAGUUGACCCUGCGAGCUCACUCAUUCAUCCCUAGUUCCACCUAAAUCAACUUAGGUAUUAUCACUAUCCUAAAAUUGAGUUGAUGAGAACUCAUUUCAACUCAGAGUGAUCGAUCGACGGCUUGGGUCGGUAUAAAUGCAAUACCAAUGCCAUGCAAUUACAAUGACUCGAUUGGAUUUAUAGUUGACCCUGCGAGCUCACUCAUUCAUCCCUAGUUCCACCUAAAUCAACUUAGGUACUAUCACUAUCCUAAAAUUGAGUUGAUGAGAACUGAUUUCUACUCAGAGUGAUCGAUCGAUGACUCAGGUCGGUAUGAACGCAAUACCAACGCUAUGCAAUUGGAAAAACCCGAUUGGAUUUAUAGUUGACCCAACGUGCUCAUUCAUUCAUCCCUAGUUCCGCCUAAAUUAAUUGCUAUGAAAUUUGUUGCAACAAAGGACCAAGCUGCUGAAAAUUUUCAAACAGGUACAUAUAUAUUGCAACAGAUAACAUAUCUGAUUUAAUUAUCAAAUAGAUAUUUAUAUCUAUUGUGACAGAUGACUGAGCUGUUAGAAAUUUCAAAAAAAUUAUUUAUAUCUGUUGUAACAGAUGACAUAUCUGAUUUUAUUAAUUAUCAAAUGACCAUUUUCUUUUGUUCUCACAGAUGACUGAGCUUUUAGGAUUUUUAAACAAAUAUUUAUAUUUGUUGUAACAGAUGACUGAGCUGUUCGAAUUUUUGAACAGAUAUUUAUAUAUGUUGCAACAGAUGACAUAUCUGUUUAAAAAUCUUUUUAUCUCUUUUAAUUUUAAAGCAAGAAGCUUCUGGUCCAAGUAGAUAAUAUCAAGUAGUAGUACUUACUACUAAAGGCGGUAAAAAAUAUUUCUUGACUAUCUCAAAAGUGAGUUCAUUCAGCAGUCUUGUCUUGUCUUUUCAAUGUCAGUAGUCUUAGUUUUCCUCGUGCCUCUCAAAUUAUUAAUGAAUAUUGAAAACCACCAUGUCUACGUACACAAUAAUCUAUAAAAAUUAUCUCAUCUCUUCCUUCAACUGCAGUUUAUUUUAUUCAACUCUCAUUUUUUUUCUCUCCUCUUUAGGGUCACAACCUUUUUUCUCUCUUUUCUCUUCUCCUCUCAUAAAGAUCUUUUCUGAUCUAAACCCAUCCAUAUCUUUCCUCGACUUAAAUUUCUGUUUUGAUCCCCUUUUUGAUAUUAAUGUAUGGUUCAUUAUUGCUCUUUUAUUCUCAUCUUCUUCUUUGCAUGUUAUUUACAUCUGUUUUUUUAUUUAAUUACUAUUUACCCAUAUCAUAUUCAUUAAAAAAAAUUAAGAAACUUGUAAGUGUUGAAUAAAAAAUUCGAGAAUUUUUAUUACAAUAUGAGAAAAAAGUCAUCUGUUGGGAGAAGUUUAAAAGCCUUGUUGACAGUAUCAUUUUUUUUGUAUGUAUGUUGUUUGUUUCAUUAUUGUUGAUGUAGUUAUUGAUAUUGUUGGUGGGGUUGGCGUUGUUGGAACUUGUGGUGUUGUUGAUGGUUCUGGCAUAAAGGAUGUUGCUUCUUUGUUAUUGAUGAUGUUUGUUGGAACAAAUGUUGUUUCUUUUUUGUUAAUGUUUAUGUUGUUGUUGAUGUUGCAAUAGAUGAAGAAAUUGUUGGAACAAAUAAGACCACUAGAAAGGCUAGUUUGAUGUAUUCCAUCAAACUCCACAUCUGUUGCAACAGACUCCACAUCUGAUGCAACAGAUGGACAAUGUUCUUUUUGUAACAUUAAUUUUUUUCCUCUUCUUUGUAGAUAUAAGGAACUGACAGUUGAUCAACUUUUGACGAACUAUCUUAAGAGGCUGCAAUAAAGAUGGGAUCGAAUGAAUAAGCUGCUUGUAAAUGGAACCACUUCAUAUAUGGGAGGUAUGUAUUACUGAUAAUGUUAUCGUGGAAACACACAUAGAGUGCAUUAAUUUUGUGAAUGAUGUUUUUACUGAUUAGUCAUAGAUCGUUCAAACAAAAUAUUUGCAAUUUUACAGUUAAGCUUGGUAGGUUCGAACUGAUAAGGCUGAGGGACCAUGAAUAUGGUUCUGAUAGCCUGUUAAGAUUUAAUGUCGGUUGUUGCUCAUGUUUAUUUGUCAAGCAUUGUGAAAGGAUCUAAUUUUUGUGUCAAUAUAAAGAGAUUCAAUAGCGAUUGGACUAACUUUUAGGGUGCAUUGGACCCUUAGAGGGCCUUCGAAGCUUAGCACUGCAUCUAAUAAGAACGAAAAAUUAAUAUAUUUAUUGCCCUGGCCAAAAUUUAUAUGGCUGGGUUGCUCGCUUGGGGUGAUGAUUUUAUGCCAGAAUGUGCGGUAGGAGAAUACUUUUGAAGAAAAAUGGUUGGUUAAUGGAAGACUAUAUCAUCUGAGAGAUAAUUGAAGAAGAGACAUAGGGUAGAAAUUAACUUCUAAAGAAUCUGGCCGGUGGAAUUAUCUUAACAGAUGCGAGAUCUGAAUCAAGUGCAAAUAUGAAAGUGUAUCCGGUAAUGUAAUUUCAUCUGUUGUGUCUCUAAAAGAAAAAUAAUACAGAUGGACACUUUGCUAGGGAGCUACGUGGUCGGGAUUAUCACCUAAAUAGAAAAUAGGAGAAGACCAACAAAGAAGCCUUACGGGCAUCGAGGGUAGAAAUGAUGUACAGCAAGUCUAGGAAACUUAUGCCAACAGCAACAGCAGUUAAAAUAAGGAAUCUAAGCGAAAGCGGCAAAUUUCUGAAUUUUAAAUUUCAUCCCAUGCCUUCUUGUUUGUGUUUUUGAUCAGGUCCACUGUCGUUGACCUGAUCGAAACCACAAACGAGAUUGAAAGGCAAAUAGAGUAUCACUGCUUCCUUAGUAAUAUGGUUAUAAUUGAUUGUGUUUUCUUGCCUUGACAUGCAUUCAACAUUCCUUGGAGAAGAUUAGAUACUUGCUAUAGUAUGUGAAUUUUGAGCUUGGAGAAGAUCAGAUGCCUCCAGCUUGUUGAUUCUGUAUUUAAGCUAGUCGUUGCCCUCUUCGAAGUUUGUAAAGAGUUCCUCGUCUCUUGUGAGCUCGAUCAGGAACACUACCUUCAAAGUUGUGGCAUUCUAGAAGCCCUUCAGAACACUUUCUUUAAAAACCUUAAAGAAUACAUGGAGGGUCUCUAUGUUUGUUUUAGGUCAAAAUGUGUUGAUGCACGUUGAAGAUGUGGUCCCAAAAGUUGAACAACACACUUCUAGUGUUGCUCUAUGCAUCUUGCUCAACCAAUUUGAUAAAUUAGUAAGCAUAGAGUUACGUAGCGUGUGAUCUGAACCGGCUCUACCAAGCCUAUCAAACGUUACGUAACUCUAAGCUUAUUACUCUAUCAAAAAAAAUAUGACCGAGUUAGUGCACAAAUCGAACGAGCUCAAUCUCUCAGCCUUUCUGUUGAUUGCUCUUCUCCAAUAUAGAUGACAAGAUAUCUGUUAUGCAAAAGUCUACACCUUCGCCAGACAUGUUCCCAGGCAAUCAUGUCUGGCGAUAGUGUAGACUUUAGCAUAGCAGAUAUCUUGUCAUCUAUAUUGGAGAAAAGUGAUCAGCAGAAAGGCUGACAGAUUGAGCUUUUUUUCUAUGUCCACUAACUCGAGCAUAUUGUUUUGAUAGGGUAAUGAGCUUAGAGUUACGAAACGUUUGAUAGACUUGGUAGAGCCGGUUUAAAUCACAUGCUAUGUAACUCCAUGCUUACUAAUUUAUCAAAUUGGUUGAGCAAAAUGCAUGGAGCAACGCUCGAUAAAAGUGUGUUGUUCAACUGUUAGGACCAUAUCUUCAAUGUGCAUCAACACAUUUUGACCUAAAAUAAACACAGCGACCCUUCAUGUAUCCUUUAUAGCUUCUAAAGAGAAAGUGUUCUGAAAGGCUAGAAUGCCAUAACUUUGAAGGUAGUGUUCUUGAUCGAGCUCACAAGAGAUGAGGAAUUCCUUACCAACUUCGAAGACGGUAAUGAGCAACUUGAAUACAGAAUCAACAAGCUGGAGGCAAGCUUGAAAAUUAUCGGGAUUCACAUACUACAGCAAGCAUCUGAUCUUCUCCAAGGAAUGUUGAAAGCAUGUCAAGGUAAGAAAACACAAUCAAUUAUAACCAUAUUGCUAAGGAAGCAAUGAUACUCUAUUUGCCUUUCAACUUCGUUUGUGGUUCUGAUCAGGUCAACGGCAGUGGACCUGUUCGAAAACACAUACAAGAAGAUGGGAUAAAAUUUAAAAUUUAGAAAUUAUCGUCUACGCUUAGUUUCCUUAUUUUCACUGCAGUUGUUGUUGGCAUAAGUUUUCUAGACUUGCUGAACAUCAUUUCUACCCUCGAUGAUCGUGAGGCUGCUUCUACCUAGGUGAUAAUCCCGACCAUGCAACUCCCUAGCAAAGUGUUCAUCUGCAUUAUUUUUCUUUUAGAGACACAACAGACGAAAUUACAUUACCGGAUAUACUUUCAUAUUUGCACUUGAUUCAGAUUUCGCAUCUAUUAAGAUAAUUCCACCGGCUAGAUUCAUUAGAAGUUACUUUCUACCCUAUGUCUCUUCUUCAAUUAGCUCUCAGAUGAUAUAGUCUUCCAUCAACCACCCAUUUUCCUUCGAAAGCAUUCUUCUACCGCACAUUCUGGCAUAAAAUCAUCACCCCGAGCGAGCAACCCAACCAUAUAAAUUUUGGCCAGGGCAAUAAAUAUAUUGAUUUUUCAUUCUUAUUAGAUACAGUGCUAAGCUUCGAAGGCCCUCUAAGGGUCCAAUGCACCCUAAAAGUUAGUCCAAUCGCUAUUGGUUCUCUGCAGUGACGACAAAUAUUGAUCCCUUCUUAAAACUUGACACGCAUAAACACGAGCACCAACCAUCAGUAAUUCGUAACAGGGUAUCUGCACCAUAUUCAUGAGGUCCUCAGCCUUAUCAAUUUUGAACCCAUCAAACUUAAUGGUACAAUGCAGGAUCUUGUUUGAAUGAUUAAUGCCUAAUAGGUUAAAAACAGCAUGCACAAAAACAUUGUNNNNNNNNNNNNNNNNNNNNNNNNNNNNNNNNNNNNNNNNNNNNNNNNNNNNNNNNNNNNNNNNNNNNNNNNNNNNNNNNNNNNNNNNNNNNNNNNNNNNNNNNNNNNNNNNNNNNNNNNNNNNNNNNNNNNNNNNNNNNNNNNNNNNNNNNNNNNNNNNNNNNNNNNNNNNNNNNNNNNNNNNNNNNNNNNNNNNNNNNNNNNNNNNNNNNNNNNNNNNNNNNNNNNNNNNNNNNNNNNNNNNNNNNNNNNNNNNNNNNNNNNNNNNNNNNNNNNNNNNNNNNNNNNNNNNNNNNNNNNNNNNNNNNNNNNNNNNNNNNNNNNNNNNNNNNNNNNNNNNNNNNNNNNNNNNNNGUGAACUUCAAAGGCAGUUUGAUUGAUGAACUCCGGAGAGAUAUUUGGCUGACUUUGGAGCAAGGCUGCCGGAUGAAUGAAAUAUGUCUGAUUGACAAUAAUAAUAAUAGUAGUAAUAAUAAUUAGGUAAUGUUUUUUAUUUUAGCAAUUAUUUUCCUCCUUUUGUAUAUCAAAUCUACCCAAGGGAUUCAAAAAUCUAUGAACAUUCAUUUCAUUUUGUUGUCGACUUUGAAUUUUUAAUUCUUAUUUAAUAUUUAAUAAUAAUCAUUCUGUUUAUUCCUUGUUCUCAACAUGUCGACUGUUGGUGGUACGGAUUGAGCAGCAAUUUGUGUCAACAGUUAGACGUUAAUAUGCUACGAAAGAUCGAUCAUAUAUUGCACCUGGCGGUUAUUAAUAAAAAAAGGGUUAUUGUUGUUAUUGAGAGGGUGAAAAGAGAAAGACAUGACUCGGAGUUCCGAUUAUUCAAUAUGAAAAAUGUUUCAUAAAUAAAUAAUAAGGAAAUAAAUACUAAACACAAUUUAUAACCACAAUUUUAAUAACUGAUCGUGACUUUUCACCAUUUUUAUUUUUGAAUUUGUUUUUUGUCUUUUAUAUUCUCAACAAACAUUUCGACGAUUAGACAUAAAAAGGAAUAAUUUAGAAUCCAGUAGCAAUAGCAACAUUUAUCUGUUGGGUUUGUGGCAGGGAUUGAUUUGUGUUGUUUGAAACAGAUUAAUCAUUCGUUGCAAUAGAUAAUUAGUCUGGUGCAACAGAUAAACAUUCUGAUGCAACAGAUAGUUAGUCUGGUGCAACAGAUAAACAUCCUGGUACAACAGAUAAUACGUCUGAUGCAACAGAUAAUAUGAUGAUGCAACAGAUAAAUAGUCUGAUGCAACAGAUUACUCAUUUGAUGCACCAGAUGAUUGAUCUGUUUAAAUUGUGAGCACUUGUACUGGAUUGAUAAUUGGGGUUCUAUCCAUUGUUGGAAAAACAGAAGUGUACCCAGAUGACAAAUACGAAUAAAAAUCAUAAUUUUACUUACCAAAGUAACCUAUGAAGUAAUGUCAAAGUGGAAAGUGAUGUAGUAAACAAAAUGACCUAAGAAAUUGGUCAGAUCGCAGCAGUAGCGCUAUACCAACAACAACAACAACAAAUGGUCGACAAGAAGAAGAUGAAACAGAAGAUGAUGAAUAAAGCAGCAGAAACAGAAACAAUUAACAACAAAAAUCGCAAAGAGAGAGAAAACAACAAUGGAUGAGAAGAGAGAGAAACACACCUUUUUUCCUCCGUUUUUCGUUAUUUUAGGUAUAUAUUGGGAUCAAAAUGUAAAUUUAAAAACUUAUGGGUUAUUUUAAAACUUUCCCAACUUUCUUAAUACAUAAUAAAGUAAUUGUCACCUCCAACUAAUAAUUAAGACUUGUGUCGGCUAAACCUCAUUUUAAAACUCUUUUGUCACCUGUGACCCAAUCCCCUAAGUUACUUUAUAGUUGGUGUGCGGAGAAAAGCUUCUAAGUCGGAUUGGAUUGGUUAUUUUUAAACUAGGUUUUUAUUUAUAUACCCUUUCGAAGAGAAAAAAAGAGUUAGCGGUUUAAAAAUAGCUAAAGUAUUUUAAUUUUUUAGUUUUAUUCCUAAACUAUCUAAGUACGUGAGUUUUCUGCAUGAACUAUCAUUAAUUAAUUAGAAAAACACACAUAAAGUAUUAAUGACUCAUUUUUUCUACCUGAAAGCUCAGAUAUGAAAUUCAAAUAAUUAAUAAUUUAAGUAUCUUUUGCUAAUAAUUAAUGAUAAUUCAGGUUGGAAAUUCAUACAUACAAAAGUUUAGAUAUAAAAUCCAAAACUGAAAUAUUUUAGGUGUAUUUUUUCCCCUUCGCUCUAAAAACAAAAAGUGUAGUAGUAUAGUUAUUUAGUAAAUCUAGGUUGAUUUGUAAAAAAUUAGGUGAUUUUUUAUUUUUUUUUUGUAUUUGAUAGAGAAUAAAAAAAAAUUAUCUUAAAAAAAAAAUAUUAUCUUAAAGUUAUUUUAUGUAAUUUAGACAAUAAGACAAAUAUAGUAGAGGGUAAGGGUUGACUAGGUAUGGAAAAAAUAACAGUAAAUGUCGUUAGUUAAAAGUAGUUUUACAAAUAUCUAUAUAUAUUAUAAAGCAGAGGACGAAGCAUUAUAAUUAGCCAAGUGGUACCAUAAAAUCUUUCAAGUGUACAGAUUUAGAUUAAGACUAACAAUAUUGUAAUAAAAAUUUUAAAUUAAAAGAUUAAAAAUAUUUGAAUUUGAAAGUAUUAAAUUUUUUUUAAAAAAAAUUAUCAUUAACUUGAAAUUAGGAACUGAAAAGUUAUAAAUGAACUCUUGCUUAGCAUUUGCAAUAGCUACGGUAAGAACAACAACAAUAACAUCUAUUUACAAUUAUAAUUAUGUAUAUAUUUAAAUAAAUAUUGAUUUAUAGUGUGGAUCCAAACCCCCUGCUUCCAAUUGUUUUAAAGUUUUUAAUAGAAUUUAUAUUUUCAAAUGGUAAUUAUCUUUUAUUAAAAAAAAAAUAUUUUUUAACAAACAAAUAAAGGAAAAGAAGAUAAAAGAAACAAAAUAGAAAAAAGUUUAGAAAAACUCUAUAUAAUAAUAAUAAUAAUAAUAAUAAUAAUAUUUUAAAAAGGCAAAAUGACCUCCUGGACCCCUCUACUAUGUCGGUUUUGUAAGUUGGACACUUCUACUUACAUGUUUGUUAUCUGGACUCCUGAACCUACUAAAAAGCAACAUUUUAAACCCUUUUUUGGUAAGUAUAACACACUCUCUCCAACGUCAGCCGUCACAUCAUCUGCCACGUCAUUUAAAAAAAUAAAAAAAUAGAAAAAGCAUUACAUUAAAUUCCAAGUCAUUUUAAAAAUGUUACAUAACAAACUAAAUAUUAAAAUUAAUUUAAUGAAAUAAGAAAAAUUUAUAAAUUGUACAAAAAUUUGAAUAAUCAUGCUGUUAAAAUUUGAAAAAUUUGAAUAAUCAUUUUUAAAAUAAAAAAAGUAUUACAUUAAAAUUAAUUUAAUAUUAAAAUUAAUUAAAUUAAUUAAAUUAAAUUUUAAAUUACAAUUAGUAAAAAAUUAAUUAAUUAAAAUUCUUAACUAACUAAUUAAUUAAUUUAAAUUAAUUAAUUUAUCAAAUUUAAAAUUCUUACCUAAUUUAAAUAAAUUUUACUUAAAUAAUUAAUUAAUUUAAAUAUGAUUUACAUAUUUAAAAUAUUUAAUUUAAAUUAAUUGUGGGGGGUUAUAGUAUCUCCCCUUUGGGGUUAUUUGUCCCCUAGUAAAAACUUACUAAGUUGAGAGGUUACGGAAAGCGAGGCAAUCCCAACAUUGACUCUUUAAGUUCUGAAUACUAAUAUUAUUCUAAGUUUAUAACAAUACCUGGACUGAACUUAACUUGGGAAUAAUUGGUAUGACAUGAGAGUAACUAGGUGACAUGAAAUAGAAAGAAUGAAAUAAGAAAAGCUAUUACCUCAAGCUGGAAUGAAAUUUGAAGAAAAAUGAUGGUGUACUUGGUCAUCAUAUUUGUCUGCUUCCCAAGUAGCUCCCUCAGCUGACUAAGUUCACUGAAGAACCUUCACCAAAAUGACCUUUUUACUUCUUUAAAAUGAUUUUUUAAUUUUAAAAAUAUUUUUAAAUUAUUUUAAAAAUAUUUUUAAAUUAAAAAGGAUGGAGGGAAAAAAGGAUCCUUUUUAAAUUUUUGUUAAAUUUUAAAAAUAUUUUAAAAUUUUUAAAAUAUUUUUACAUUUAAAAAGAUAGUGGGAAAAAAAGGACCCUUUUUAAUUUUUUUUUUAAAUUUUAAUUAUUUAAAUGUAAAAUUGGCCAAAAUUUGACCCCACACGCACCCUAGGCGAGUGGUUACACUCUCUUUGUUCUAGUCAUCAUGACUUUGCCACAUAGGCAAGGUCAACGGUCAAAGGGUGCGAAAUAUUGCUUUUUGAUGGGUUCAAGGGUCUAGAUGACAAACAUGUAAGUAGAAGUGUCCAACUUACAAAACUGACAGAGUAGAGGAGUCCAGAAGAUCAUUUUGCCUUUAAAAAAUGACCUACACGGCACUUACCCCUUAUGUGAUAAUCCUCUUUAGGAUCAUUCUUAUUAGCAAUUAUAAGAUUUUUCUCCUUUAUUUUCUAAAUUUAUAUUUAUCCAAAUCAAUAUCCUAAUUAAUUAAUUUUUUGAAUUCAAAUUUAAAUAAAUUUGAGUUGAAUAAAUUUCUAACUGCUUAACUUCUCCUAUAUAUACUUCUAUAAUAAUAUAUAUUGCUAAACUUUCUUCUCCUUCUUUUUUAGUUAUUUUAUAUUGAUCAUCAAAUUUCUUCAUGAAUUAAUUUACUCCAUUUUUCAUAUUCUUCACUUUUUGGUUUUUUUAUUUUGUUUUAACAUUUUUAAUUUUUAUAUGCAGAUGAGUGAUGAUGAAUUGCAUGCUAAUCUAUUUUUCUAUUAUAUCCAAGUCUGAAUUCAAGUAAGUAAUAUUCUAAAGCAAACAUACUCGACUAUAUAAAUAAAAACUUUUCACUAAAAAUUUUAGUUAGAUUGAUAAGUCUGUGGUGGUGUGGGUUUAAAAAUUUGAUGCAGUGGAUUGGUGGGUUGGGAUUUAGGGGGAGGGAGAGGAAAGGUUAACAAUCUAAUAUCUUUAUAUUGUGAAUAAUAAUAAAAAAAAUGAAACAUAACUUUUUUAUUAUAAUUACAUAAUUAUUUUUCUAUAAAGAUUUAGUUAGAGAUAGGGGAUUGGGGGUAGAAAAAAGUUUUUAUUUUUAUUUUUUUAAAACUAUAUUUGUAAAAAUAAAUAUAAAUUUAUUUUUAAAAUUAUAUUAUUAUUUUUUCUAUAUAUAUUUGGUUAGAGGUUUGGGAUUGGAUGGGGAGGGAUGGGGUGAGGGAGGUGGAUGCGUGUGAUGGUGGGGAGGGGGUAGUUUUUAUUUUUAUUUUUUUAAAAUUGAGGAAGCAGGAGGGGUGUGGAAAUGAAGGUGGAGUAGGGUUUUUUUUUUCACAUUCAUUGAGAAAUAAUGUGAAAUAAUUUUACCAUGCUUAAACGAGGCAUUCUAAUAUAAAAUAAUUAAAAAUAAUUUUUAAUAUUAUCCGUGCAUCGCACGGGUACGUAUACUAAUAGUACUUAUAAGGUAAGAGUUGGAACAACAUACGUUGUCAGAUACUAAAUUUAUCUUUUCAGCAGUAUUUCUCUAUUUCCACAUAGAGAACUAUGAUUGAAUCCUAUGCUAAAAAGAUGAUGAGAAGAGUCGAAUGAGGAAUAAAAUUAUUAUUAAUGUUCUUUGAUGAAAUUUUAUGAUCAAAUAAAUUUUAUGAUCAAAUUUUAUGCCCACUGGAUUAGUAUGAAACAGGCCCUUUAUUUCACUAGCAUAAAUAUCUACCUCAUUGAGCCCAUGAAAACGUUGAGGAAAUUGAACGUAGGCUAAUUUGGGCCAUAGUGUCUGGUCCAAGAAGUAACAUAAAGCCCGCUGAGGUGUCGAUGGAUCAUUGGAGUACAUGUCACAGUCCAAUGUCAAUAUUAUUGGUGCAUUUGUCAUGAUUCCCGAUACUCGAAGCUAUCACAAAAAGAAAUAAAUCAUAACAAGUAUAAAAAAGUGGAGUUCGAGGAGGGUAAGUGUGCACAAACACUGAGGUAAAGAGAUUGUUUUCGAUAUACACUCUGCUCGAUCAAGACAAAAACAGUAUAGAGAAAAACUUAAUGGAAGUAUUGAUAUUUUUACUUACCAAAGCAUUGAGGGCACCUGCUUUAAAAUGAUGAGGGGAACUUUUGUUUUUUUCUCUUGAAAGAUAUAUAAGAUUUGGCAUCCCAUGACCUGUUAUGUCUUUGUCUUUCCCACUUUCUAACAAAACCUACACCAAGCAAUUUGUUAAAAGGAAAAGUCAAAUAGAUGAUACCGCCAAAUUAAUCACCAAAUAUUAGGUUUGAAAUGAGAGGUUUACAAUUAAAGGCAAAUUAGAAUCUGUGGCAACAUAUAUGUGUUGAGGAUUUUGUACUAAUUUGCUGUACUUUUUAUAGUAAUAGUUCAGAAACUUUUUAAAUGUAUAUAUUCAUAUAUAUUAAGGUUGUUCCCAUAGUAAUUGUUACAAUUUUAGACAAAGUCCACAUCAGUAAAUAGUAGAGAGAUGUUGAUUAUACAUAUAUAGAGAAACAAGUCUUAAAUGUUGUGACACAUUUUGAAGUCGUGAGAACCUAGUGGUCAAAUAGACAAUAUCACAAGUGAGCCAAACUGUUGCCAAAGAAUUUUUAAAACAAAUGAUAAGUUGCUAUGGCAAAUUAACCUGAAUAAUAGAAGGAUGAUUAUGACGAGUGAAUCCAGCAGUCCAAAAUUUUGUAAAUGCUUGAAGCUCUUUGUCGUUGUUGAUAUAAUCUUCAUCAACUCUUCCCCUCUCUAUCACAUUUUCUAUCCUUGUCUUCAUGCUUUCAUACAUCAACUGCACAUAUAAUAUAAUUAAAUAAAGUUCGAAUUAUGUUGGAGGAUAAGAACAACAACAACAAUAACAACAUACUCAAUGUAUUUUCAUCAAGUGGGGUCUGGGGAGGGUAAAGUGUACACAGUCCGUCCCACUACCUCAGAUGAAGUAGAGAGGUUGUUUCCGAUAUAUAUACCUUCGACUCAGAACAGAUACCCAAUAUAACAAACAAAACACAUAAAAGCAUGCAACCACAAGGUAAUACUAUAAUAACAAAUAGUAUAGGAUAAUAACAAAAAUAAGUCUCACACAAGGUAAUACUAAAAAAAUCUAUUAAAAAAACAUAGAUAUCACCAAUACACCGCAAACGUACUCCUAUCCACUAAUCCUCUACACUAAUUCGCGUCCUUCACACCUUCAUAUCAAGUGUCAUGUCCUCUGUAAGUUGUAACUACUCCAUGUCAUGUCUAAUCACCUCCCUCUAAAUACUUCUUACGCCUACCUCUACCCCUCCUAAAACCAUCCAUAGCCAGCCUCUCGCACCUCCGUACAGGAGCAUCCGUGUCACUACUUAUCACAUGCCCGAACCAUCGCAACCUCACUUCCCGUAUCUUGUCCUCCACCAAAGUCACUCUCAUCUUCUUCCGGAUAAUCUCAUUUCUAACCCUAUCCCUCCUGAUAAGUCCACACACACUUAUUUUAUCGCUUUUUUUUCAAAAAUUAUAUCACGCAAAUAUGAGGGAAAAGAUUAAUUUCAUACUUUUAUUGUAAUAUAUAAAUUGUUGAAGCUCCUUUAACAAAACAGUGUAAUGAAGUAGUAAAAAAGGUUCAAAUAUCUAAAAUUGUUUUAAGUUACCAUCCAAAUUUUAGACGUCAAAUUCCAGUACAGUCUAAUUAAUAUUCCUAGUAGGGUGCACCAACAAAUAGUUACUACUAGGAUGUAUGACAAUAUUAUUGGCUAUUGAAGUUUAUUAGUCCAACAUAUUAUAGCAAAACAUUAAGCAUGACACAUGCAGCAUAUAGUUAAUUAUUUUACGACUUUUAAACGAACUAUGACAUAUUAAAGAAAAUAUCUGUUGUUUUGUCUUAGCUAUAACGUCAGAAGGAUUGAAUUCAAAAACAAAAUGACAAAUAAAUAUAAAUAAUAAAUUAUAUUCAGAUAAUAACUGAUGAAAUCAACUCAGGCCAGAUACUAGUCAAUCAAAUUCUGCAACUUGCUUAUCCUACUGCCAUACAAAAACUAGCCACUUCCCGUCUCUUUCGAGAGUUAAUUUAAUUAAUUUAUGAAAAAAUUUAUUAUUUUAAUAAUUUUCAUAUAAUUUUUAAAUAUAUUAUAAAUUUUAAUUUUAAAAUAUUAAAUUCAAUUUCACUUCAAAAAUUAAUUAAAUUAACUUUGAAGCAAACAUGAAAAGCCACAUAUAUUAUUAUAAAUAAAUGUGAUGAAGGGUAUAUACUCCACCAACGUCCCAUAAAAGACCAUAUAAUUUAAAGAAAAAACUAUCUAAAUAAUCCAACAAUCAUUACCAUAUCAAUAUAUAUUCUUUCACUACUUUAAAUUAAUUACAUAAUAUUUUACUUCUUAAUAAUUUACCCUAGAUACAGAGGAGGAGCCGGCCCUCUUUAGGGGUUCGUCCAAACCCUUUUCGACGAAAAAAUAUACUAUUUAUACAUGAUUAAAAUUAUUUUUAUGUGGUUAUAGUAGAUGUUACAUCCCCUUCAAUUUAAUUUUCUUUGAAUAUUAAAUCCCCUUGAAAUCCUAGCUCCACCUCCAUCUAGAUACAUGUUGUAGCACCCGGAUACAUGCAAAUACAUGCAACCUAGCCGUAAGAUGUCUAUGAGAUACAUGCAUCUACAAUGAUUGAACCAUAUAUCCAAAUAUUUUAACCAUCGAAUGUCUUAAUCAUGUAUCCAACUUUUUUCUUUUAAUAGUAUCAUAUGUAAUAUUAAAAACUAGUAGUUGAAGGAGCAAUUGGACUAUAAAGCCUCUAUGUCCCUUCAAUGAUUGAUAUAGACAAUGAAUAAACCAAAAAUAUAUCAUAAAUAAACGUAGUCAGAUCUGGCACGGCUAUUUUUUUUUUUCGAUUCAGUGUUCGGUAUCCGCAUGCAUUGGAGUCUGACUAAUCCAAAUUCGCACCGGGUAGGGCCCCAUUCGAGAGAUAGCGCUCCCUACCAAGGAUUUUUUCAUACCCAGUACUCGAACCCGAGACCUCUGGUUAAGGGAGGAGCAACCUCAUUCACUGCACCACAUCCUUUGGUGGUAGCACGGAUAUAAUAUAAUAAUGGAUACUAUCUAUUCCCUAUCCCUGCAGAAAUAACAGUACCAAAUCUUGAAUCAUGUGGAGCUAUCUUCUGCUAUGUUGCUCGAACACAUGCAGGAUAAUAUUUUUAAAGAGUAUGGAUAUAUAAUCGCGAUUUUUUAAUAUCUCGAAAAUUAACUAAAUAAUCAGUUGAACUAUGUUGUAAUUCAAUUUGAUGCAGUAACAGAUAGUUUGCUUUAUUUUACAGGUUCUAUAUAUUUUUACAAAAAUUAAAUGCUUUAUAGAUUGUUACCUAGUUAAGAUCGAUAAGUUACGACUUAGCUUUCUUUGUUUGUAGUUCUCAUGGAAAACAGAUUGAAACAACUUAAAAAGUUGAAUUACAUACCUUAAUUUUCUCUAUCUCAGAAUUUUUUGAGUAACUCGAACUGAAAUAUGCAUCAGGACACCUUUCAAUUAUAUUAUUUUCCCUACAAAAAGGCAACCAAUACACAGCAAAUUUUGCAGCUUCCAUAAAAGCAAACAACGUAAGCUCUGAUCCUCCAUCGUCCGAUACAUAAACUGAAAGUUUUUCGAUAGGAUAAUAAUCAUACGCCAUAACUGAUAACGCUGUGUUAACGACGUUUAACGGGGGUUCCUUAUAAGGAUCCGCUGUGCAAAUAAAUAUAUCGAGUGCUGGUAAAUGAUUGUUACUAUACUUUUUUAUUUUUUCGGGUAAUUGUUUACGUGUGAUAGGACGCAUACGAAACGAUUGAGUGGUUGACCACAUGAAGGCUAAGAUUAAAUCGGAAAUUAUAAUAGAAAUAUAUAUGAAGAAAGUGAUAAAGGAAUAAUUAGUACUGGAAUAUAGAAGUUUGUGUAUGUGGUAGUAGAAAAGAGCUAGGAUGGCAAAAAGGUAAAUAAGUGCAAAUGCACGGUUGAGGAUGAGCUGUAGUGGCUUCACUUCGACGGAGUGAAGCGUAGCGCCGCCGUCAGCGGUGGUUCCGGUGGCGGCUGUGGUUUCCAUUUCUGUGUGAUAUAUGGAGCUAGUGAUAUACUGUGAUGAGAAGCAUUGCUAUUUAUAGCAAAUAUUCCAAGCUUUUUGAAAUUAAUUUAGAAAAAAAAUAAUUAACGCUAAGGGUAAAGUAUAAAAAAAUUUAUUUUUUUUCGAUAUGUCAAAAAUGACAAGUAAAAUUAGAAAUUCAAUUAGGAAACUAAUGACACGUAAAAAUAAACGGAGGGAGUAGUUGGUGUGUCGAGAAAAAGCUUCGAGUUGGAUUGAGUCGGUUAUUUUUAAACUAGGCUUUCAUUUUAGUUUAAAUAAAACUUUUUAGGGGGUCGUUGGUAGGAGGGAUAAGGGAUAACUAAUCUCGAGAUUAAUUUUAGGAAGAACUUAUCUCAUGUUUGAUUGGGAUAAAAUGUAUGGGACUUAAAUUAAUUAUUUCAAAAUUGUAGUGUUAUUAUUUGCAAAAGAUUAUUGGUCAAUUAUUUAGCAAAUCCAGGUUGAUUUGUUUAAAAAUAAUUGGUGAUGAGACUCUGUAUUGCUGUAUAUUAUCUCGAUAAGAACAUUAUUAUGUUUUGUCACAAUACAUUAAGCAAAAUGGAAUAAUUCAAGCUGUCGAGUGUUGACUGUCUCUUUUUAUAUUAUUUUGGAAGUACACAUCAUUUGCUGAUAGUCCAAUUCAUUUUGGAUGUCUUUGGUACGGCCAAAAAUAUUUUUUAUGAAAAAUGCUUUUAAAUAUUUAUCAAAGAGUUAGAGAACUAUGAUUGAAUCAUAUGCUAAAAAGAUGACGAGAAGAGUGGAAUGAGAGAUAAAAUUAUUAGUGAUGUUAUCUGAUGAAAUUUCAUGAUCAAACAAAUAUUUAAUGAUACAAGCGUUGAUUCAAAUACACUUAAAUAUAAGGAAUGACAACAUUAAUACUCUACAAGAACAAUAUCAAAAAGUCCCAAAGUACAAAAAUAAAUAAAUAAAUAAAUAAAUAAAUACUUUCCUAUUAAACAUUUCUUAGAAGAAAACCAAAUGACAUACAGAGAAUACUAGCAAGAAAUGUGGAGAAAAUUGUGACCUUUGUUGGCAUUCUUCCUUUAUCACUUCUCAAAAUCAUACCUUCAUAAAUUGGCAAACAAUUUAUCACAACAAAGCAAGCAAUAAACAUUUGGAUAAAUAGACCAUCCAAAUCUUGAUCACCCUUGAAAAUUUGUGCUAUUGAUGUGAGGAAUGCUACUAAAUUGAUAAUUGAAGUAGUUGCUAGUGCAACGAACAUUGGCGAAACAACUCCAAACUCGAAAAUUCCUUGAUGGUACCUUUUACCUUGGUCAUCAUCGACUACUUUGCUUGUAACGUUGAACCCUAGCGUUGAUAUGCCGAAGCGAUUAGUUAAAUACUCAAUUGUUCCAAAUAGCAAAGAUGUUAAUCCCCUUAUCAUCCACAUUCUUUGAUCACUCCACCACCUUUUCCAUGUCCCUUCACAAGACAUAAAAACCAAACAAUGUUGUCCGUAUGCUCCUAGGAACAAAAAUACGUACAAGAAAAACCAAGGAUCUGAAACCUGAAAUCAAUAUAAAAACAAAAGUGACUUUUAAGAUAUCAUAUGUUAAUGUCUAUAAGUGACAAAUUUACCACAAGUAUGAACCAAAAAUGUUAUUAUCUCAUUAUAAUAUUUAGACUAAUGAAAAAGAAAAACUACAUAUACCUUUGGAAAGAUGGAAACCCCAUUGAGUAGAGUAAGUUGAGGGAUGAAGGCAUAUAGAGUAAUUGGUAUACACCAAGUGGGCCAAAAUGCAUAUCUAGCAUAACAAUGGGCCAUAAGAAAGCCCAUGGACCUAACCCCAAAAGUCAAUGGGCUAUAUUUUGAGAAAACAACUUCAUGAAGGCCCACACACCAUCUCUUGUGUUGGCUUAGCACAUCAUAGAGAGAAAUAGGUAUAUCUCCUAAAAAUGCAGGCCUUUUAGGAUGGCAAAAUACAGAUUUCCAUCCUUCACAUUGAAGUCUAUAACCUGUAUAUAAAUCUUCCACUAAUGAUCCAUACCUGAAGCCCAUCUGCAAAAUUGUGAAAUCGUUAGUCCGCCAAAUUUAUUGUUGUGUCGCUGGUAUACGUAGAUUAUACAUGGUUAUAUACAUAUUGUUUUGUCCUUCAUUGAAAGUGACAAAAUCGCCUUUUCCCUAUUUUUUAUUCUAAUAUUUAAAAGUUGAAAAUAAAUUACAUAUAUUUAUGAUAAACCUUUUCUUUUUAGAUUUCAUCAGAAUUAAUGACAACUAAUACUUUUUUCAUUAGUUUCAGAAUUCUAAAUCAACUAAAAUUGAUUUUAGAAAGAUUUAAGGUGUAUAAAUCUACUUCUUUAUCUAGGUAUAUUAAAUCCAUUAAAUUUCUGGUAGUAAAAUAUAAAAUAUUUGUUUUGAACUUUUUACACUUUGUUAACAACCUUCUUAAAAGAUAAAAUCGAACUAGUUCAUAAAAAAGUUACCAAGGACUUAUUAAGAUGGAGGUAAAGCUCACCUUGGAACCCCAAUUACUUUCAUCCUCAUAGUUGCAACUUGCUACAUAAUGGGCUUGCUGUAAGAUUUCCUCGGCCCGAAUGGGCUUAUUCGCAACAUGAUCCGGGUAAAGUUCUUGAAUUUCGGGCUUCUCGAACGAAGAUGGACAGCCGAAAAGAGCCCGACGACGAAAGAAGCAUCCAGUUCCAACAUAAUUGGGCCCACGAAGCCCAUCCAUGCCCAUUGAAUUAGUAUGAAACAAGUCUUUUAUCUCACUAGCAUAAAUAUCUGCCUCAUUGAGCCCACGAAAACAUUGAGGAAAUUGAACGAAGGCUAAUUCGGGCCAUA